CCAGAGUCUGGAGGAAGAAUGGAGAGGCACACACUGCAAGAUGCUUGAAGUCCAGUGUGAAGUUUCCACAGUCUGUGUUGAUUUGGGGAGCCAUGUCAUCUGCUGGUGUUGGUCCACUGUGCUUCAUUAAGUCCAGGGUCAACGCAGCCGUCUACCAGGAGAUUUUGGAGCACUUCAUGCUUCCUUCCGCAGACGAGCUUUAUGGGGAUGCUGACUUCAUUUUCCAGCAGGACUUGGCACCUGCCCACACUGCCAAAAGCACCAAAGCCUGGUUCAAUGACCGUGGGAUUACUGUGCUUGAUUGGCCAGCAAACUCGCCUCACCUGAACCCCAUAGAGAAUCUAUGGGGCAUUGCAAAGAGAAAG
Molecule: long non-coding RNA, 365 nt
Filed under: Pelobates cultripes (western spadefoot toad)
Lineage: Eukaryota; Metazoa; Chordata; Amphibia; Anura; Pelobatidae
Source: RNAcentral